Molecule: ribosomal RNA, 504 nt
Filed under: uncultured bacterium
Lineage: Bacteria
Description: partial 16S ribosomal RNA
Rfam family: Bacterial small subunit ribosomal RNA
Source: RNAcentral
AUUGAACGCUGGCGGCAGGCCUAACACAUGCAAGUCGAACGGUAGCACAGAGAGCUUGCUCUCGGGUGACGAGUGGCGGACGGGUGAGUAAUGUCUGGGAAACUGCCCGAUGGAGGGGGAUAACUACUGGAAACGGUAGCUAAUACCGCAUAACGUCGCAAGACCAAAGUGGGGGACCUUCGGGCCUCACGCCAUCGGAUGAACCCAGAUGGGAUUAGCUAGUAGGUGGGGUAACAGCUCACCUAGGCGACGAUCCCUAGCUGGUCUGAGAGGAUGACCAGCCACACUGGAACUGAGACACGGUCCAGACUCCUACGGGAGGCAGCAGUGGGGAAUAUUGCACAAUGGGGGAAACCCUGAUGCAGCCAUGCCGCGUGUGUGAAGAAGGCCUUCGGGUUGUAAAGCACUUUCAGCGGGGAGGAAGGCGGCAAGGUUAAUAACCUUGUCGAUUGACGUUACCCGCAGAAGAAGCACCGGCUAACUCCGUGCCAGCCGCCGCAGUAA